UCAUUUCAAUUCAUUUUAUAUAAUUGUGUCCUUUUGUGCCUUCUCCAUGUGUUGUUGCUGAGAAUUAAGAUAAGAACAUAGAAGCCAUAGUUUUUGUCGUCCCCUGCCUCAAGAUCUCUCUUUGGUAGGGUAAAUCUAAAAAAUGUAAAUCAAUUUAGAGUAGUUGUGGAAGAUAUUUUAUGCGGACGUGACAAUAGAGAUCAAUCUUCUUGCUGAAAAAUGGAAAUAUAUUCUUGGUGGUUUGAAUUGUAAGACAAAUCAUGUCGGAGUGUAAAUCAAGUUGGUAUGUGGAAUUUAUUAAGAUCCAGCUAUCGGAAGGUUUUAGAUAGUCCCAGACCUCUGCAAAUAUGUUUGCUGUUCGGAGGAAAAAAUAACAAUAAUGAGCAGAACAACGAUGCUCCUUCAAAGGUAUCUGAGUAUAUCCCUUUCGUUGUAUAGUAUUUUAUUGGUUACAUUGAUGUUGGAUCAAUCUUGUUUGGUGGCUUGUCAACGAUCAUUUUAAGCUA
Molecule: long non-coding RNA, 506 nt
Organism: Capsicum annuum
Lineage: Eukaryota; Viridiplantae; Streptophyta; Magnoliopsida; Solanales; Solanaceae
Exons: 3
Source: RefSeq, a predicted model, not a curated record